This 551-nucleotide small RNA is filed under the name Histoplasma capsulatum. RNAcentral describes it as "hypothetical RNA". The record is from RNAcentral. RNAcentral also lists the same sequence under 1 other name. Lineage: Eukaryota; Fungi; Ascomycota; Eurotiomycetes; Onygenales; Ajellomycetaceae.
CAAGUUCUGAUAAAAGAGGAAUGUGCAUAGCCACAAUCGCUCCAGUAUUUCCUGAUAGGAGACUGUAUCUCCUGCUUUCCCCUAACAAAAGAAAGGGGGAGGGUCUCGUAUAAUAAUAAGUGUGGGCUAUUGGGUGGUUAAUCUGCUCAAAAUAUCCACAUGGGCGUGUCAUCAUGGAUUAUUUUACUGUGAAAUCCAUAGCCCUCUCCAUGCAGAUCCCCAUAUCGCUCCAGUUAACGCCCUGGUCUUGAUUUUCCGUCAUAAAUGGUGACCUCCCCAUCCUCCUCUCACGUUGAUAUAAUUUCUAUCUCGUUUCAUAUCAAAAGUGUUGAGCUGAAUUCAAAAAUUUAGGAUGUUGGGGUGUCACCUUCUAAUACCUCUAAUCUCUCUUCUCGUGGGCGGCUUCUCAACUCUCUUAGACGCCGCGCCACCAGAUUACUACAUCGCGGGGGUUGACCAGACACCCAAUGCAAUACAUGUCUUUCCGCGGAACAAACCGUGGACUCACUCCAACAUCCAUCCACUGGAGCUUCACAGCCGGCAAACGCAGC